RNAcentral lists this ribosomal RNA (301 nucleotides) under uncultured bacterium. Its description in RNAcentral is "partial 16S ribosomal RNA". It matches the Rfam family "Bacterial small subunit ribosomal RNA", at positions 509 to 807 of the family's 1533-position model. The record is from RNAcentral.
CAGUCGCCGCGGUAAAACGAAGGGGGCUAGCGUUGUUCGGAUUUACUGGGCAUAAAGCGCACGUAGGCGGAUCGAUCAGUCAGGGGUGAAAUCCCAGAGCUCAACUCUGGAACUGCCUUUGAUACUGUCGAUCUGGAGUAUGGAAGAGGUGAGUGGAAUUCCGAGUGUAGAGGUGAAAUUCGUAGAUAUUCGGAGGAACACCAGUGGCGAAGGCGGCUCACUGGUCCAUUACUGACGCUGAGGUGCGAAAGCGUGGGGAGCAAACAGGAUUAGAUACCCCCGUAGUCCCUGUCUCUUAUAC